RNAcentral lists this ribosomal RNA (423 nucleotides) under uncultured Sphingobacteriales bacterium. RNAcentral describes it as "bacterial SSU rRNA". It matches the Rfam family "Bacterial small subunit ribosomal RNA", at positions 959 to 1382 of the family's 1533-position model. Lineage: Bacteria; Pseudomonadati; Bacteroidota; Sphingobacteriia; Sphingobacteriales. The record is from RNAcentral.
ACGCGAGGAACCUUACCUGGGCGUUGAAAGUUAGUGACAUUCUGCGAAAGCAGAACUUCCGCAAGGACACGAAACUAGGUGCUGCAUGGCUGUCGUCAGCUCGUGCCGUGAGGUGUUGGGUUAAGUCCCGUAACGAGCGCAACCCCUAUCAUUAGUUGCCAUCAGGUCAUGCUGGGGACUCUAAUGAGACUGCCCGCGCAAGCGGUGAGGAAGGUGGGGACGACGUCAAGUCAUCACGGCCCUUACGUCCAGGGCUACACACGUGCUACAAUGGUAGAUACAGCAGGUUGCCACAUGGUAACAUGGAGCUAAUCCCAAAAGUCUAUCUCAGUUCGGAUUGAGGUCUGCAACUCGACCUCAUGAAGCUGGAUUCGCUAGUAAUCGAAAAUCAGCAAUGUUUCGGUGAAUACGUUCCCGGGCCUU